ACUUGACCUCAAAUCAGGUGGGACUACCCGCUGAACUUAAGCAUAUCAA
RNAcentral lists this ribosomal RNA (49 nucleotides) under Hybogaster giganteus. RNAcentral describes it as "partial 28S ribosomal RNA". Lineage: Eukaryota; Fungi; Basidiomycota; Agaricomycetes; Russulales. The record is from RNAcentral.